RNAcentral lists this small nuclear RNA (331 nucleotides) under Tursiops truncatus (common bottlenose dolphin). RNAcentral describes it as "7SK RNA (ENSTTRG00000023631.1)". It matches the Rfam family "7SK RNA". From Rfam's summary of the family: 7SK was discovered as an abundant small nuclear RNA in the mid-70s but a possible function has only recently been suggested. Two independent studies have found that 7SK RNA binds the CDK9/cyclin T complex (known as elongation factor P-TEFb). Lineage: Eukaryota; Metazoa; Chordata; Mammalia; Artiodactyla; Delphinidae. The record is from Rfam by way of RNAcentral.
AAAUGUGAGGGUGAUCUGGCUGCAACCUCUGUCACCCCAUUGAUCACCAGGGUUGACUGGCUGAUCUGGAUGGCUAGACAGGUGUCCCCUUUCCUGCCCCAUGGAUCCACAUACAUUCCUCCUGGAGCUGUAAGCUCAGUGAAAGAGGAUGGCCUUCCCCAAUAGGAGAGGGCCCUUUUUCGGUCGAGAGUAUAUGAGAAGCUGUUCUGCCCUGCUAGACCUUCCAAACAAGCUCUCAAGGUCCAUUCCUAGAAGAAAGUAGGCUAGUCAAGCUUCCAAGACUCGAGACACAUCCAAAUGAGGUGCUGCAGGUAGUGGUCUGCCUUUCUUA